This 253-nucleotide ribosomal RNA is filed under the name uncultured bacterium. Its description in RNAcentral is "partial 16S ribosomal RNA". It matches the Rfam family "Bacterial small subunit ribosomal RNA", at positions 524 to 776 of the family's 1533-position model. The record is from RNAcentral.
UACGGAGGGAGCUAGCGUUGUUCGGAAUUACUGGGCGUAAAGCGCGCGUAGGCGGCUACUCAAGUCAGAGGUGAAAGCCCGGGGCUCAACCCCGGAACUGCCUUUGAAACUAGGUGGCUGGAAUCUUGGAGAGGUCAGUGGGAUUCCGAGUGUAGAGGUGAAAUUCGUAGAGAUUCGGAAGAACACCAGUGGCGAAGGCGACUGACUGGACAAGUAUUGACGAUGAGGUGCGAAAGAGUGGGGAGCAAACAGG